CAGAAUUUCCUCCCACUAUUUGGUAAUGUUGACAAUUUAAAAUCGUAACUUUGAUGAUGACAUUUUAACCUUAAUCGAAUCAAUUUUGUUUAUUGUUACACUUUAAUUGAUGGAAAAUUUUGUUUACUUCAUUAUGUUGAUAAAUUUACUACUCAUUUUGUUAGGAAUAAACUAACAAUUAGAUAUGUAAGAGUUUCUACUUUUACUUGUGUUGUUUUUGUUUGACAUUCGAUUGGGGAGACGAAAUAAGGGGAAACCAAUCAGCUGUUUUCUUUUUCUUGUUUUCAUUUUUCUGCUCUGUCUCUUUUUCCUUUUCUCUUACUUUUUACUUCUUAUACUUUCUUUGUUUCUCUUAUUUUUUUCUGUCUUUUUAUCAAUUUACUUGAUCGAGAUGAAGAGUGAGAGAAAGAGAUGAAAAGUUCCAACUCUGUUUCUCUUUCUUUUCUUUGAUUUCAUGUUUCUUUCUUUCUUUGUCCAGUUUUUUUUAUUUAAUUUCUCUUUCUCUUUCUCUCUCUCUUUCUUUCAUUCUUUCUUUCCUUCCAUGAAUGUCCAUAAGCUUUUUUUCUGCUUCAACAUUUCUCUCCCUUUCUCUCUCCUUCUCUCACCUUUUCCUCUCUCUUCUAAUUUUAUUUCUUUGUUUAUGAUUUCACGGAAGAGGAUCUUUUGGUCAGGUGAUCAUUGAACUCCCAAAAAAUGGUUAAGCUUUGAUGGUUUGGCUCCUUUUUUUGUUUCGUUUCAAGGUGGAGUCCGAGUUCACCAUCAUCAUCAUCGCCAUAAUCACCUCAUUAUUUAACUAUCAUUAUGAUUAUCACUCACCUGACUAACCUUAGUUAUCACGGCAAAUAUAAUUUUAACUUUUCUCUCUCUCUCUCUCUCUUUCUCACCUUUUGUUUUCAUUCAUUUUCAACGUAAUAAUAUUACACUGAACUGAUUGUCGUUCUUAUUUUUCCUUCUCUCUCUCCAAUUUCUCAUUUUCCAGUUUCUCUAUUUAUACAAAAACACCCAAUGAUGUCAACUCUCAUGGAAGGAAUAAAAAACUGAAACUUGUAACCAGAUUAAUAAGCUACUUUAACCCUGUUACUUUAAGAUUAUCUUAAAUUUCAUGUAAUCAAAAUGAAGAAACUCCUACGGAACCAUUAACGAGAAGGAGGACAAAGAAAAGAGGAAAACCAAGAAGAUGAAAAGAAAGAGAAGAUAAAAGGAAAAGAUGAUAAAAGCUGAAAUUCAAGUUUCUUCAUAAUCAUUAACGCAAAUUACUGUUGCUACGAGUGCGAAUUCUGCCAAGAGAAGCUUUUUCUUUCUAUUAACCAGAA
Panonychus citri (citrus red mite) is the source of this 1313-nucleotide long non-coding RNA. RefSeq lists it as uncharacterized. The record is from RefSeq and is a predicted model, not a curated record. The transcript is spliced from 2 exons. Lineage: Eukaryota; Metazoa; Arthropoda; Arachnida; Trombidiformes; Tetranychidae.